Molecule: ribosomal RNA, 502 nt
Filed under: uncultured bacterium
Lineage: Bacteria
Description: partial 16S ribosomal RNA
Rfam family: Bacterial small subunit ribosomal RNA
Source: RNAcentral
AUUGAACGCUGGCGGCAUGCCUUACACAUGCAAGUCGAACGGCAGCACGGGUGCUUGCACCUGGUGGCGGGUGGCGAACGGGUGAGUAAUAUAUCGGAACGUAUCCAAUAAUGGGGGAUAACUAGCCGAAAGGUUAGCUAAUACCGCAUACGCCCUGAGGGGGAAAGCUGGGGAUCGUAAGACCUAGCGUUGAUGGAGCGGCCGAUAUCUGAUUAGCUAGUUGGUGGGGUAAGAGCCUACCAAGGCGACGAUCAGUAGCUGGUCUGAGAGGACGACCAGCCAAACUGGAACUGAGACACGGUCCAGACUCCUACGGGAGGCAGCAGUGGGGAAUUUUGGACAAUGGGGGCAACCCUGAUCCAGCCAUUCCGCGUGAGUGAAGAAGGCCUUCGGGUUGUAAAGCUCUUUCGCAAGGGAAGAAAACUCGAUCUCUAAUAUAGGUUGAGGCUGACGGUACCUUGAUAAGAAGCACCGGCUAACUACGUGCCAGCCGCCGCCGUAA